RNAcentral lists this long non-coding RNA (490 nucleotides) under Olea europaea (common olive). Its description in RNAcentral is "long non-coding RNA (OEUR_LNC009304)". The record is from RNAcentral. Lineage: Eukaryota; Viridiplantae; Streptophyta; Magnoliopsida; Lamiales; Oleaceae.
UGUUGUAUUGGAGCCAGCCAUAUAGUUAUAUUGAACUUUGAAUAAAACAAACUCAACAUUCCAAAAACUGAAAUUUUCAAUUGAAUUUUAUGACACCUUUUAAGACAACAUGGAAGAAACAUCCAUCAAGGACAGGACACUGUUGCCUGGAUAUUUCUUUAUUCCAACACGUGCCUUUGGCAGAUUUGUUUCGGCUUUCUUGAAGAUAGUAUAUGUUUGGCAAUUUGGUAUACAAUCGACCACAAUGUUAAUUAUAACGACAUUUACCUGCCUUUCAGUAGGUAAAUGACGAUUUGUCCUUUUCAAAAUACAAGACCUAUUUCUAACUGGAAAGUAGUAAUCACGAUCCAUGAUUAUUGAUUCCCAUAUAGUCUACAGACUCUAAAUAGAAUAAAAACUCAGGCACCAUAAUAAUCUAAGGUAAAUAACAAGGAACAUGAAGCCUCGCCCAUAUUGCAUAAAAGUAGGAAAAAGUUUUGACCCAUAAUUA